AGUCAAAGCUUAGUUAUAAUAUUCAACAAAUCCCCAAAACAAAUUGAAAACCCCCGGUUAUACUGAAUAAUUCCAUACAUCUAUGGAAGCUAUUAUGUUAAAACUAGUAACAUGAAGAUACCUUCUCUUAAAUGUAAACGUAAGUCAGGAUGGACCAUACACUGACAAUUAACAGCUUAAACUAAAGUGAUAACCAACCCAAGAAAAUCUCACUAACUCAUCUGUUAACCUAACACAAGAACACUUAAAGAACGACUCAAAGAAAAAGAAGGAACUCGGCAAAAACUGAUUCCGCCUGUUUACCAAAAACAUCGCCUCCUGAAUAUAGACCAUAGGAGGUCCAGCCUGCCCAGUGACUCUGUUUAACGGCCGCGGUAUCCUAACCGUGCGAAGGUAGCGUAAUCACCUGUUUUUUAAUUAAAGACCUGUAUGAAAGGCAUCACGAGAAUCACACUGUCUCCUUUUUCAAGUCAGUGAAACUAAUCUCCUCGUGAAAAAGCGAGGAUACCUCUACAAGACGAGAAGACCCUUUGGAGCUUAAGACAAAUAAAUAUCUGCCCACUUGCACCCCCCCCCACACCUCACAGCACUAUAUUUACAAGUCUUGGGUUGGGGCAACCGCGGAAUAAAAACAAACCUCCAAGCUGAACGGAAAUUUCCUAAACAAAAAGCAACAGCUUUAUGAAUCAGCAAACUGACACAAUUUGACCCAAUAUAUUUUGAUUAACGAACUAAGUUACCCUAGGGAUAACAGCGCAAUCCACUUCAAGAGUUCAUAUCGAAAAGUGGGCUUACGACCUCG
Molecule: ribosomal RNA, 802 nt
Filed under: Eleutherodactylus alticola (Lynn's robber frog)
Lineage: Eukaryota; Metazoa; Chordata; Amphibia; Anura; Eleutherodactylidae
Description: partial 16S ribosomal RNA
Rfam family: Bacterial large subunit ribosomal RNA
Source: RNAcentral